RNAcentral lists this unclassified non-coding RNA (244 nucleotides) under Lasiosphaeriaceae sp. RNAcentral describes it as "partial contains 5.8S ribosomal RNA, internal transcribed spacer 2, and large subunit ribosomal RNA". Lineage: Eukaryota; Fungi; Ascomycota; Sordariomycetes; Sordariales; Lasiosphaeriaceae. The record is from RNAcentral.
CGCACAUUGCGCCCGCUAGUAUUCUGGCGGGCAUGCCUGUUCGAGCGUCAUUUCAACCAUCAAGCCCCCGGGCUUGCGUUGGGGCCCUGCGGCUGCCGCAGGCCCUGAAAAACAGUGGCGGGCUCGCUGUCACACCGAGCGUAGUAUUGUAUCUCGCUUUGGCCGUGCGGCGGGUGCCAGCCGUUAAACACCCCCCUUCCACAAGGUUGACCUCGGAUCAGGUAGGAAUACCCGCUGAACUUAA